Molecule: non-coding RNA, 1117 nt
Organism: Nicotiana tabacum (common tobacco)
Lineage: Eukaryota; Viridiplantae; Streptophyta; Magnoliopsida; Solanales; Solanaceae
Source: RefSeq, a predicted model, not a curated record
UUAACGCAUAGACAAUAUCAUAUUGAAGUGUUUAUUGUGGUUUACUUUGUAUUUGAUUUUUAUCUUAUCUCUUUGAGAUCCUUGUCAGACUUCUUUGCGCUGUCAGGUUUCUGGCCACAUUCUUGUUGAAGCUCUCAGCAACCUUCUUACUGAUGCAAAACUUCUGGAAGCACGUCAAGAAGCUGCUAAACAAGCUUAUCAUGCUCUGUCUCAUGGGAUCACUGAAAAUGUUUGGAGCCUUUUAGACUUGCACAUUUUUCGGAAUGCACUGGCACACCGAGGUUCCAUAAUUCAGUGAUUUAGUCCAAUGAUGUUUGAUCGGCUGGAGUUGAUGUUAUUGCUGCAAUCCUUCGAGUUAAAUUAUGCGGAAGGAGCAGCAGAAACUCUCUCCUGGAAGGUUGCUCCAGGCUUGAAAUGAAGAACAUGAUAAUCUGAAUGACGCGCAUUUCCAUUUCUACAGAUUGGACGAGAAGCUCAUAGCUACUAUAACCAAUACUUAGAAAUCUCUUUCACCUCUAGGCUGAUUUGUUCCUUUUCUAGGUGUGUCAAGCAUGUUUGUGCCAGGUGCAGCGUUCUGAGCUUCACAUAGUUAACAACUACGCCUCAGUCCCUAACAAAUUGGUGUCUGCUAUAUGAAUCCUCACUGAGUUUCACAAUGUUGCUGACGUAAAAUGGUCCAGCUUUUAAUGGGAUCCAUCAGUGCAACUUUCAUCAGAUUUUUAUUCUGGGAAAUCUCACUGGAUAUCGCCUGGAAUUUUGAUGGUGGUUUCGGUAACAGGUAAAUGCAGUUGGCAUUCCGGAAUAUAUUCUGUUAACAAUUUCUUACAGUUGGCAUACUCUAUGACUGGGCAUGAACAAUGACUGCUGGAACUCUAUGCAAGGAUGAACUGACAUUGGCCGGGAAUGGUGAGAAGUAACGUGGUACAUUUUUUUUUUUUGAAGUGGUGCUAUUUUAAUGCAUAUUGGUAUUUGGUGCUUUCUCUGCAGCAGAGUUCUCAUAGUAAUUUGAUUUUUGUGAUAUGCGACAACUGUGGUUCGGAUCCUUAUGCUCACAUUGUUGAAAUUUGUUACAACGUGAGCUUCUGAGUUUAUAUUUAACUAUGUAUCUUCUAUAGCA